GGGAAGGAUCUUUUCUGGAGAUUCAUUCCACUGGAGUUUCUUAUGUGAGCCCUGGAUAGGUGGCCAUAGAGAAAAUCAAAAUUCAGAGAAUGAAAACAUUUUUUGCUUGUAAUGUAUUUAAAGGAAGAUUAAAAAGAUAUUUUGAUGAGAACCUGGGGAUAAAGUUAUCUUACUUCAGUUGCCUUUGGAGAUGAUUACAUACUUAUGCAUAAAUUAAAUAUCUUGGUGCACUGAGAACAGGUGUUUGAACAAAGCUUCUUACUCAUCUAACACAAUUAAGGUUGGCCUGAACUUCUUCAUCUCGCAGCAUGCAGUGCAAGAGAAUAAAGCACUUUGAGGAAUGAUAAUCUCUCUCAGUGGUUAGGAAGCAGAGCUUGGGUUUACCAGAAUACAGAAGUUAUCUUUUGGACAAAAGAGAGUAAGAACAUUAUUCCACAUCCUUGAUUUUGUCUUCUCAUAGGUUUUAGGCUUUAAAGAACUGAAC
Non-coding RNA from Meleagris gallopavo (turkey), 484 nucleotides. The record is from RefSeq and is a predicted model, not a curated record. Lineage: Eukaryota; Metazoa; Chordata; Aves; Galliformes; Phasianidae.